GAUGAACGCUGGCGGCGUGCCUAAUACAUGCAAGUCGAGCGAACAGACGAGGAGCUUGCUCCUCUGACGUUAGCGGCGGACGGGUGAGUAACACGUGGAUAACCUACCUAUAAGACUGGGAUAACUUCGGGAAACCGGAGCUAAUACCGGAUAAUAUAUUUAACCGCAUGGUUCAAUAGUGAAAGACGCAUUUGCUGUCACUUAUAGAUGGAUCCGCGCCGCAUUAGCUAGUUGGUAAGGUAACGGCUUACCAAGGCAACGAUGCGUAGCCGACCUGAGAGGGUGACCGGCCCAACUGGAACUGGGACACGGUCCAGACUCCUACGGGAGGCGGCAGUAGGGAAUCUUCCGCAAUGGGCGAAAGCCGGACGGAGCACCGCCGCGUGAGUGAUGAAGGUCUUCGGAUCGUAAAACUCUGUUAUUAGGGAAGAACAAAUGUGUAAGUAACUAUGCACGUCUUGACGGUACCUAAUCAGAAAGCCACGGCUAACUACGUG
Molecule: ribosomal RNA, 497 nt
Filed under: uncultured bacterium
Lineage: Bacteria
Description: partial 16S ribosomal RNA
Rfam family: Bacterial small subunit ribosomal RNA
Source: RNAcentral